This is a long non-coding RNA of Leucoraja erinaceus (little skate), 1829 nucleotides long. RefSeq lists it as uncharacterized. The transcript has 3 exons. The record is from RefSeq and is a predicted model, not a curated record. Lineage: Eukaryota; Metazoa; Chordata; Chondrichthyes; Rajiformes; Rajidae.
GGCCCGAAGCGAUCUGAGGACGUGAAAAGCAGAGGGGAAGCGCAUCCACCAACGUGACAGAGCCGGGCCGGGCUGGGAGGGGAGAAGAUGAUCAGGCCUCCCCGGAGUGGAUGUCGUCCCCUGUAAUGGAGGGCAUCAAUGCUGCCCGGGGAGAAUUUUGAACUCACACGUGAGGAUUCAUAGUUGCAGGAAGAUAUUGGAACACAUAACCAUGGAGAACCUGGCUGCAGUUUUAAAAUCUAAGCAUUAAUCCAUGAGUAAUAAGGGCGAAAUUGCUUUGAAGAUGCAAUGUCUUGCAGAAUAUAAGAAUAAAAAUUUCUCUUAAAAACAGAGUACAUGAAAUAUUGUUUUCCUAAUGAAUAAAAUUAUAACUUCAUUCAUUUUUUUGUUUAAUCCAAUGCAGAAUAAACUUAACAUUUUCAGAUUACAUAUGUAGAACAGGCCAAUUCAAAGGGUCGAGGGUUGAGGUGGGAGUGUGAACUGAAGAUAGGACGUGCACAAGCAAUAGUCUUAUCGAAUUUUAAUCUCUACUUCAAUGUGAUAUACAUUCUAUACCCGAAGCACAGCCAUAUUAUCAAAUAGCCUAUUUUGCAAUAAUAGACCAUACCAAUGAUUUCAUCCACUUAAAAAAAAAAACCCAUUUAAAUUAAACUUUAAAAGCAAGGUAUCUGGGAAACAAAGUGACAAAACCGUGCCAAUUGCUCCCAAUUCUUCACAAACAUUUACAUGACAAAGUCAAAUGCAGAUAUACAUCAUGCCUCUUGCAAAAGACAUGGUGACUACCAAAUUUAUUUUACAAAAAGUACAGAUUUGUAAUUUUAUUCACCAAACAUGGUCUGACAUGAUCUGCAAUCAUCUUGGCCAGAAAACCACCCCUCUGAACAUUCAUAACACUGCUCCCUCUGCUGUAUGGAUAUACAAUUGCAUAACAUGGUCAAACCUGUACUUUUACAUUCAUUUCCUCAAUGUUCCUUAGGGAUGUUGGAACUUUUGGAAGACCUGGAUAAAUGAUCAGUAUCCAAAUAGAGACACAAGGAACUACACAUGGUGAAAUCUUGAGUAAUACAAAGUACAGGAGGGACUUAGCAGGUCAGCCAGCAUCUAUGCAGGGAAUGGACAGAUGGCAUUUCAGGUCGGCAACCUUCUUCCGACUGAUGAUAUCAGCCUGAUGAAGGGUCCAGUCCCGAAACAUUCCCUCCACAGAUGCUGCCUAACCCACUGAGUUUCCCCAGCACUUUAUAGUAUUCAAAUAGAAACUGACAUAUGGUACUGGACAUUUCUGGGUUGUUUAGAUCAGGCAUUUCCUGACAAGGAGCCACACAUACACAUUUCCAGUACCUUACAAAUGUGAUCCUCAUUCAUCAUUGUCAUUCUGUGCAGCUGGUCAAAAUGUUGAUGUUUUUCCAAAGUUCAUCUGGCAAUGACCAUUCAGAAACCAAAAAAUAGUUUUUGAAAGAAAAUCAGGGGGAAAAAAAACAGGAAAUACUUAAGUUGCCAAGAUAAAUCAAUGUUUUAAGUCAUCAAACUUCUGAGUUGCAGAGAAGGGUUAGAGGCAGCGAGAACAAAAUGGAAAGGUCGUGAUUGGAUGAAGAUUAUGGCUGAAAAAGAAUGGUGAAGGUUGGUGAACAAAAAGGUUUAUCUGGGGACUGAUGAAGCCAAAACCACCAAUACUUAUGUUAUUUGGUGUUACUUGGGCACCCAUUCUUGUUGGGGUUUUUUUGUCCAGAAAGUAGAUGAAAUCGUCAAGUUCCAAGGUGUGAAUAUCACCAACAAUUUGACCUUGUCCAUCCACAAUGACGUUACAGCCAAGAUAGCACACCAGCACCUAC